AUGAAGAACUCCCGUAAGAUGACCCCGACCCGGGAGGAGAACCAGAGACCACAUAAGUGGGCUCUUGGGCUGCUGGUGUCUCCUUUCCUGCCGCCAUCCCUUCACAUCAGGAGAUCCUCCGUGACCUGGGAAGACUUGGCAUCACCUUGGCAUCGACCAGGUCCUGGUCUCGGUCUUUCUAAAGGGAGGAGGAGGAGUCAGGAUUCUGGCCUUGGUUUUCUUCCCUCUUCCUUCCUCCCUCCAGCUGCCUGGGCCAGGCAAGAAGCACCUCCCAAGGUCCCCUUUGCCCAGUGGCAACCCAAGUCCUUGAGAAGACCUUCAGCUUCUUGCCACCAGGGGGCGGGGUGCCCAAGCUUGGACCCCAACCCAGGCUCGCCGGCUUUUUCCAUACCAUUUUCAAGGUCAUUCUGGAAACUCAACUGGUGCCAGGACUAAACAUUUGGGUCACUGACCUCACUUCCUGGUAGCCUGAGUACAAAAGACUUUGGAGAAGGAAUCACCCGGCGGCUCCUCGCCCAGCACAGCAUCAGGGUCAAGAAACUGGCCAGCUGUGACCUCACUGGCCAGGAGGAUUCAUCCCCUCCCCCCAUGUCUAAGUAAAGCGCUCCGUUUGGUCAGGUAUCUUCACAUUUCCAUUCACACUCACCACACACACACAGCACUGGA
RNAcentral lists this long non-coding RNA (666 nucleotides) under Monodelphis domestica (gray short-tailed opossum). Its description in RNAcentral is "lncRNA (ENSMODG00000041412.1)". Lineage: Eukaryota; Metazoa; Chordata; Mammalia; Didelphimorphia; Didelphidae. The record is from RNAcentral.